AGAGAUAGAGGUUGCGUGUUUUAAGAGUAUCUUUUUGGAUGUGUCAGGCACAGAAGAAGGAGAGGGAAAGGAAAACGCGCCGAAGGGGAAGCUCUCCCUGAAGGGUUUCUUUCUGGGCAUACAUUUAAGAGGUGUAUGACUGUCAUCUGGUUAGAUGGAGUGCUAUCGUG
Molecule: non-coding RNA, 170 nt
Filed under: pig gut metagenome
Description: Lysine riboswitch
Rfam family: Lysine riboswitch aptamer
About the family: Riboswitches are metabolite binding domains within certain messenger RNAs that serve as precision sensors for their corresponding targets.
Source: RNAcentral